AGGACGAACGCUGGCGGCGUGCUUAACACAUGCAAGUCGAGCGGUAAGGCCUUUCGGGGUACACGAGCGGCGAACGGGUGAGUAACACGUGGGUGAUCUGCCCUGCACUCUGGGAUAAGCCUGGGAAACUGGGUCUAAUACCGGAUAUGACCUGCUCUCGCAUGGGGGGUGGGUGGAAAGAUUUAUCGGGUGCAGGGAUGGGGCCCGCGGCCUAUCAGCUUGUUGGUGGGGUAAUGGCCUACCAAGGCGACGACGGGUAGCCGACCUGAGAGGGUGACCGGCCACACUGGGACUGAGACACGGCCCAGACUCCUACGGGAGGCAGCAGUGGGAAUAUUGCACAAUGGGCGAAAGCCUGAUGCAGCGACGCCGCGUGAGGAUGAAGGCCGUUCGGGUUGUAAACCUCUUUCAGCGAGGACGAAGCGCAAGUGACGUACCUGCAGAAGAAGCGAACCGGCUAACUACGU
This 467-nucleotide ribosomal RNA is filed under the name uncultured soil bacterium. RNAcentral describes it as "bacterial SSU rRNA". It matches the Rfam family "Bacterial small subunit ribosomal RNA", at positions 26 to 506 of the family's 1533-position model. The record is from RNAcentral.